This 253-nucleotide ribosomal RNA is filed under the name uncultured bacterium. RNAcentral describes it as "partial 16S ribosomal RNA". It matches the Rfam family "Bacterial small subunit ribosomal RNA", at positions 524 to 776 of the family's 1533-position model. The record is from RNAcentral.
GACAGAGGGUGCAAACGUUGCUCGGAAUUACUGGGCGUAAAGCGCGUGUAGGCGGACUGGUGUGUCGGAUGUGAAAUCCCCAGGCUCAACCUGGGAACUGCAUUCGAAACUGCCAGCCUUGAGUGGUGGAGAGGGAAGUGGAAUUCCCGGUGUAGUGGUGAAAUGCGUAGAUAUCGGGAGGAACACCAGUGGCGAAGGCGACUUUCUGGCCUGUUCUUGACGCUGAGGCGCGAAAGCUAGGGGAGCAAACGGG